UGGGGGGCCUUAUGGGAGGCAGCAGUGGGGAAUAUUGCACAAUGGGCGAAAGCCUGAUGCAGCGACGCCGCGUGAGGGAUGACGGCCUUCGGGUUGUAAACCUCUUUCAGUAGGGAAGAAGCGCAAGUGACGGUACCUGCAGAAGAAGCGCCGGCUAACUACGUGCCAGCAGCCGCGGUAAUACGUAGGGCGCAAGCGUUGUCCGGAAUUAUUGGGCGUAAAGAGCUCGUAGGCGGUUUGUCGCGUCCGCUGUGAAAGCCCGGGGCUCAACCCCGGGUCGGCAGUGGGUACGGGCAGACUAGAGUGCAGUAGGGGAGACUGGAAUUCCUGGUGUAGCGGUGAAAUGCGCAGAUAUCAGGAGGAACACCGAUGGCGAAGGCAGGUCUCUGGGCUGUUACUGACGCUGAGGAGCGAAAGCAUGGGGAGCGAACAGGAUUAGAUACCCUGGUAGUCCAUGCCGUAAACGUUGGGCACUAGGUGUGGGGGACAUUCCACGUCCUCCGCGCCGUAGCUAACGCAUUAAGUGCCCCGCCUGUA
RNAcentral lists this ribosomal RNA (537 nucleotides) under Kocuria dechangensis. Its description in RNAcentral is "bacterial SSU rRNA". It matches the Rfam family "Bacterial small subunit ribosomal RNA", at positions 328 to 877 of the family's 1533-position model. The record is from RNAcentral. Lineage: Bacteria; Bacillati; Actinomycetota; Actinomycetes; Micrococcales; Micrococcaceae.